This 78-nucleotide transfer RNA is filed under the name Emydomyces testavorans. Its description in RNAcentral is "tRNA-Val". The stretch from base 10 to 78 matches the Rfam family "tRNA". From Rfam's summary of the family: Transfer RNA (tRNA) molecules are approximately 80 nucleotides in length. Their secondary structure includes four short double-helical elements and three loops (D, anti-codon, and T loops). Lineage: Eukaryota; Fungi; Ascomycota; Eurotiomycetes; Onygenales; Nannizziopsiaceae. The record is from RNAcentral.
GGCCGAGUGGUCCAUGUAGCUGAUUAUCGCGUUUCGUUAACACCGAAAAGGUCCUGAGUUCGAGUCUCAGCUUGGUCA